RNAcentral lists this ribosomal RNA (695 nucleotides) under uncultured bacterium. RNAcentral describes it as "bacterial SSU rRNA". It matches the Rfam family "Bacterial small subunit ribosomal RNA", at positions 8 to 748 of the family's 1533-position model. The record is from RNAcentral.
AGAGUUUGAUCCUGGCUCAGAACGUACGCUGGCGGCACGCCUAAUACAUGCAAGUCGAACGAAGUAGCAAUACUUAGUGGCAGACGGGUGAGUAACAUGUAGGUAUCUACCCUUUGGCCUGGAAUAACACGAGGAAACUUGUGCUAAUACCGGAUAAGUCUUUACGGAGAAAGCUUUAUGCACCAUUGGAUGAGCCUGCACUUGAUUAGUUUGUUGGUGGGGUAAUGGCCUACCAAGACAAUGAUCAAUAGCUGAUUUGAGAGGAUGAUCAGCCACAUUGGGACUGAGACACGGCCCAAACUCCUACGGGAGGCAGCAGUAGGGAAUCUUGCACAAUGGAGGAAACUCUGAUGCAGCGAUGCCGCGUGAGUGAAGAAGGCCUUUGGGUUGUAAAGCUCUUUCGUCGGGGAAGAAAAUGACUGUACCCGAAUAAGAAGGUCCGGCUAACUUCGUGCCAGCAGCCGCGGUAAUACGAAGGGACCUAGCGUAGUUCGGAAUUACUGGGCUUAAAGAGUUCGUAGGUGGUUAAAAAAGUUGGUGGUGAAAUCCCAGAGCUUAACUCUGGAACUGCCAUCAAAACUUUUUAGCUAGAGUAUGAUAGAGGAAAGCAGAAUUUCUAGUGUAGAGGUGAAAUUCGUAGAUAUUAGAAAGAAUACCGAUUGCGAAGGCAGCUUUCUGGAUCAUUACUGACACUG